CAGAGGGUGCAAACGUUGUUCGGAAUUACUGGGCGUAAAGCGUGUGUAGGCGGCCUAGCAGGUCGGAUGUGAAAGCUCUCGGCUCAACCGGGAAAGUGCAUUCGAAACCGCAAGGCUUGAGUGUCGGAGAGGAGGGCGGAAUUGUCGGUGUAGAGGUGAAAUUCCUAGAUAUCGACAGGAACACCUGUGGCGAAAGCGGCCCUCUGGACGAACACUGACGCUGAGACACGAAAGCGUGGGGAGCAAACAGGAUUAGAUACCCUGGUAGUCCACGCCGUAAACGAUGGGUGCUAGAUGUCACGGGAUUUGACCCCUGUGGCGUCGUAGCUAACGCGUUAAGCACCCCGCCUGGGAAGUACGGUCGCAAGACUA
Molecule: ribosomal RNA, 372 nt
Filed under: uncultured organism
Description: bacterial SSU rRNA
Rfam family: Bacterial small subunit ribosomal RNA
Source: RNAcentral